AGGAUUAACGCUGGCGGCGUGCCUAACACAUGCAAGUCGAACGAGAGUAGCAAUACUCUAGUGGCAGACGGGUGAGUAACGCGUGGUCAACCUUCCCUUUAGUGGGGGAUAACUAGCCGAAAGGUUAGCUAAUACCGCAUACGAUCUAUGAGUGGCAUCAUUUAUAGAUGAAAGAAGCAAUUCGCUUAAGGACGGGACCGCGUCCCAUUAGUUAGUUGGUGGGGUAACGGCCUACCAAGACUCCGAUGGGUAGCUGGUUUGAGAGAGCGACCAGCCACACUGGGACUGAGAAACGGCCCAGACUCCUACGGGAGGCAGCAGUGAGGAAUUUUCCGCAAUGGGCGAAAGCCUGACGGAGCGACGCCGCGUGUGGGAAGAAGGCCUUCGGGUCGUAAACCACUGUCGAAGGGGAAGAUAUUGACGGUACCCUUGGAAGGAAGCCCCGGCUAACUACGCGCCAGCAGCCGC
RNAcentral lists this ribosomal RNA (468 nucleotides) under uncultured bacterium. RNAcentral's name for it is "SSU rRNA". It matches the Rfam family "Bacterial small subunit ribosomal RNA", at positions 26 to 518 of the family's 1533-position model. The record is from RNAcentral.